AUGGCAGAAGAUGCUCAACAAUUCUUCAACAACAGAGAUGCUCUGCUCCAACAUCUCAAGACAAACUUGUCUGCUGCUCAAGCCCGCAUGAAGAAAUACGCUGAUCGCAAGCGUACUGAAAGAGUUUUGGAAGUUGGUGACAUGGUGUGCCUUAAAAUGCAGCCCUACCGGCUCAAUGCAUUUGGGUUGCGUACACACAUCAAACUGCAAAGCAAGUACUAUGGGCCGUUUCGCAUCAUAGCAAAGGUGGGGCGCAUGGCUUACAAACUGCUUCUACCUGACAGCACCAGCAUUCAUCCAGUCUUCCAUGUUAGCCAGCUCAAAAAGCAUGUCGGACCGAAGGCAGUGCCCUGUUCUGAUUUGCCGCUGGUACGAGAAGAUGGUAUGAUUCAGACCGAGCCAGUGUGGGUCUUGGAAACACGUCAGGUUCCACGCAACAAUUUGCCGGUGGUUCAAUGGCUAGUUCAAUGGGAAAACUUGCCACCUGACGAAGCUUCUUGGGAAGACGUGACAUUCAUGAGGAAAACAUUUCCUACAUUCUUCAAGGCGACCAUCGACCGUUGGUUCAAUCGCUCAUCUCCUAGAGGACAAGUUCGUUUUUGGUGGGAGGCAUUGUCAGGCCAGCAUAUUCAGUUACAAGUGUCCAGCACAUUCAGUUAA
This 660-nucleotide ribosomal RNA is filed under the name Triticum aestivum (bread wheat). Its description in RNAcentral is "partial small subunit ribosomal RNA". Lineage: Eukaryota; Viridiplantae; Streptophyta; Magnoliopsida; Poales; Poaceae. The record is from RNAcentral.